This 538-nucleotide ribosomal RNA is filed under the name uncultured bacterium. Its description in RNAcentral is "partial 16S ribosomal RNA". It matches the Rfam family "Bacterial small subunit ribosomal RNA", at positions 355 to 902 of the family's 1533-position model. The record is from RNAcentral.
UGGGGAAUAUUGGACAAUGGGCGGAAGCCUGAUCCAGCAACGCCGCGUGAGGGAUGACGGCCUUCGGGUUGUAAACCUCUUUCAGUACCGACGAAGCGAAAGUGACGGUAGGUACAGAAGAAAGGACCGGCCAACUACGUGCCAGCAGCCGCGGUAAUACGUAGGGUCCGAGCGUUGUCCGGAAUUAUUGGGCGUAAAGGGCUCGUAGGCGGUUUGUCGCGUCGGGAGUGAAAACAGCGGGCUUAACUCGUUGCUUGCUUUCGAUACGGGCAGACUAGAGGUAUGCAGGGGAGAAUGGAAUUCCUGGUGUAGCGGUGAAAUGCGCAGAUAUCAGGAGGAACACCGGUGGCGAAGGCGGUUCUCUGGGCAUUACCUGANGCUGAGGAGCGAAAGUGUGGGGAGCGAACAGGAUUAGAUACCCUGGUAGUCCACACCGUAAACGUUGGGCGCUAGGUGUGGGGUCCUUUCCACGGAUUCCGUGCCGUAGCUAACGCAUUAAGCGCCCCGCCUGGGGAGUACGGCCGCAAGGCUAAAACUC